RNAcentral lists this ribosomal RNA (254 nucleotides) under uncultured bacterium. RNAcentral's name for it is "partial 16S ribosomal RNA". It matches the Rfam family "Bacterial small subunit ribosomal RNA", at positions 524 to 776 of the family's 1533-position model. The record is from RNAcentral.
UACGUAGGGGGGCAAGCGUUGUCCGGAUUUAUUGGGCGUAAAGAGCGUGUAGGCGGUUUGGUAGGUCCGUUGUGAAAACUCGAGGCUCAACCUCGAGACGCCGGCGGAAACCAUCAGGCUAGAGUCCGGAAGAGGAGAGUGGAAUUCCUGGUGUAGCGGUGAAAUGCGCAGAUAUCAGGAAGAACACCCGUGGCUAAGGCGGCUCUCUAGUACGGUACUGACGCUGAGGAGCGAAAGCGUGGGGAGCGAACAGG